AUUGAACGCUGGCGGCAGGCCUAACACAUGCAAGUCGAGCGGAUGCAGGGAGCUUGCUCCUGGAUUCAGCGGCGGACGGGUGAGUAAUGCCUAGGAAUCUGCCUGGUAGUGGGGAUAACGUCCGGAAACGGGCGCUAAUACCGCAUACGUCCUGAGGGAGAAAGGGGGGGAUCUUCGGACCUCACGCUAUCAGAUGAGCCUAGGUCGGAUUAGCUAGUUGGGGGGGUAAAGGCCUACCAAGGCGACGAUCCGUAACUGGGCUGAGAGGAUGAUCAGUCACACUGGAACUGAGACACGGUCCAGACUCCUACGGGAGGCAGCAGUGGGGAAUAUUGGACAAUGGGCGAAAGCCUGAUCCAGCCAUGCCGCGUGUGUGAAGAAGGUCUUCGGAUUGUAAAGCACUUUAAGUUGGGAGGAAGGGCAGUAAGUUAAUACCUUGCUGUUUUGACGUUACCAACAGAAUAAGCACCGGCUAACUUCGUG
This 483-nucleotide ribosomal RNA is filed under the name uncultured bacterium. RNAcentral's name for it is "partial 16S ribosomal RNA". It matches the Rfam family "Bacterial small subunit ribosomal RNA", at positions 30 to 507 of the family's 1533-position model. The record is from RNAcentral.